AACGAACGCUGGCGGCAUGCCUAACACAUGCAAGUCGAACGAAGUCUUCGGACUUAGUGGCGCACGGGUGCGUAACGCGUGGGAAUCUGCCCUUGGGUACGGAAUAACUCAGAGAAAUUUGUGCUAAUACCGUAUAAUGUCUUCGGACCAAAGAUUUAUCGCCCAAGGAUGAGCCCGCGUAAGAUUAGCUAGUUGGUGGGGUAAAAGCCUACCAAGGCGACGAUCUUUAGCUGGUCUGAGAGGAUGAUCAGCCACACUGGGACUGAGACACGGCCCAGACUCCUACGGGAGGCAGCAGUGGGGAAUAUUGGACAAUGGGCAAAAGCCUGAUCCAGCAAUGCCGCGUGAGUGAUGAAGGCCCUAGGGUUGUAAAGCUCUUUUACCAGGGAUGAUAAUGACAGUACCUGGAGAAUAAGCUCCGGCUAACUCCGUG
This 433-nucleotide ribosomal RNA is filed under the name uncultured bacterium. RNAcentral's name for it is "partial 16S ribosomal RNA". It matches the Rfam family "Bacterial small subunit ribosomal RNA", at positions 29 to 507 of the family's 1533-position model. The record is from RNAcentral.